Molecule: transfer RNA, 75 nt
Filed under: Kibdelosporangium phytohabitans
Lineage: Bacteria; Bacillati; Actinomycetota; Actinomycetes; Pseudonocardiales; Pseudonocardiaceae
Description: Kibdelosporangium sp. KLBMP 1111 tRNA
Rfam family: tRNA
About the family: Transfer RNA (tRNA) molecules are approximately 80 nucleotides in length.
Source: Rfam by way of RNAcentral
GAUCGGAUAGCGCAGAGGUCGUCGCGCGCUGCCUGCAAAGCAGUGAGGACGCCGGUUCGAAUCCGGCUCCGGUCC